CCACGAGCGUCGACUCUGCCUCUGGAGAAAUUCGACCCGAAACACAAAAUCCUCCACCGUCAGUUUGGCCGGGUCUGGGUCGCCGUCGAAAUGGAUGUCCCAUUUGUCGAUGCCUCCCCAUCUCGGCUCUCUCCAGUCGUCUCGCCUCUCGUAGGGCGUCGUGUAUCGCCGAGCUCCGCCGUCUCCUGCUGGUUCACGUUCAGGUACCAUCGGUCUCGUUUCCAACUUCCACCCUGCGUGACCAAUAUUGGCUCAGUCUCUCCGGCUUCCUCGGAGGCGCUUGUGGAAUAUGCUCCUGUUGUUCCACGGAAGCUUUGGGUCGGGUGCCGGUACUCUGUCUUCGCCAUUCUGGAGCCUUCGCACCGCCUUCUCUGCCAUUCGGACCAUCCUCCCAGCCCAGAUCCUGGAUCAGCUCUCCCUUCUGGCGCAGGGGCGUCAUUGCCUCCGUUAUGGCACCCAUCAGCUCCAUAAAUCCUCGACGGAUCUCCUCUUGCAGCAUCCUGCUGAUGGUGUCCGCCAUAGCUCCUCUCUGCGUCUCCUGCGCUUGUGCUAUGGCGACGUUUAUGCCCGAAAGAAUUUCCGACGGCAAUUCUUUAGGGUACUUCGGCUGGUUCCAACUGUCGUUCUCUCCUCCUUCUGCGCCCUGUUCCGGCAAGUUUCCUGGCGAAGGAGUCCUGCUAGUCAUUUUCCCCUUUGACCGUAAAUUGUAGUUGCUCAUAAACUUUCUGACCACCUACUUUUCUCUCUUCCACAGAAACUCAAAACUCAAACAAAACCUGACACGGAACUUCAAAUUACUGCAAGAUCAACCUUAAGAGGGGAAAGUAACAACAACUGCUACUGGGGCCAUCUGCACUUGGUUCCCUACGUCUUUGCUUGUCCAACGUCUUCCACUUCUUCGCGAGCGCUGUUGACCUCUCAUCUUAUACAGAAGAUUAAGAGUCAAGGGCGCUCACUCUGCUACCUAGCUGCUUCUGUCCCACUACUCUACUGAAGGAUAGCUUCGGGAUCUUGUAGCUGCUCCAGGUGCAUCGCGUGGCCGACUUAAUGUCCCCACGGGCCACCUCGAGCAAAACAAAUCUCUACGAGAUACUACUUUCCCGGUGU
Molecule: long non-coding RNA, 1107 nt
Filed under: Drosophila guanche
Lineage: Eukaryota; Metazoa; Arthropoda; Insecta; Diptera; Drosophilidae
Source: RNAcentral